Molecule: long non-coding RNA, 99 nt
Organism: Salarias fasciatus (jewelled blenny)
Lineage: Eukaryota; Metazoa; Chordata; Actinopteri; Blenniiformes; Blenniidae
Exons: 3
Source: RefSeq, a predicted model, not a curated record
UGUUUUGAGGAUUGAAAAUUGGAGCACAUUUCAUGUUUGUCCUAAAGCUAAACAGACCAGAACUUUCUAUGACGAAAAGCUAUCAAACUUAUAAAACAC